This 230-nucleotide ribosomal RNA is filed under the name uncultured bacterium. RNAcentral describes it as "partial 16S ribosomal RNA". It matches the Rfam family "Bacterial small subunit ribosomal RNA", at positions 567 to 791 of the family's 1533-position model. The record is from RNAcentral.
AAAGACGUGCGCAGGCGGCUUGCAAGACAGAUGUGAAAUCCCCGGGCUCAACCUGGGAACUGCAUUUGUGACUGCAAGGCUAGAGUACGGUAGAGGGGGAUGGAAUUCCGCGUGUAGCAGUGAAAUGCGUAGAUAUGCGGAGGAACACCAAUGGCGAAGGCAAUCCCCUGGACCUGUACUGACGCUCAUGCACGAAAGCGUGGGGAGCAAACAGGAUUAGAUACCCGUGU